GGCGGCGUGCCUAAUACAUGCAAGUCGAGCGCAGGAAACAAGCUGAUCCCUUCGGGGUGACGCUUGUGGAAUGAGCGGCGGACGGGUGAGUAACACGUGGGCAACCUACCUUGUAGACUGGGAUAACUCCGGGAAACCGGAGCUAAUACGGGAUGAUCAUUUGAAUCGCAUGAUUGAAAUGUAAAAGUGGGGAGUAAUCCUCACACUAUGAGAUGGGCCCGCGGCGCAUUAGCUAGUUGGUAAGGUAAUGGCUUACCAAGGCAACGAUGCGUAGCCGACCUGAGAGGGUGAUCGGCCACACUGGAACUGAGACACGGUCCAGACUCCUACGGGAGGCAGCAGUAGGGAAUCAUCCGCAAUGGGCGAAAGCCUGACGGUGCAACGCCGCGUGAACGAUGAAGGUUUUCGGAUCGUAAAGUUCUGUUAUGGGGGAAGAACAAGUGCCGUUCGAAUAGGGCGGCACCUUGACGGUACCUCACGAGAAAGCCCCGGCUAACUACGUG
This 503-nucleotide ribosomal RNA is filed under the name uncultured bacterium. RNAcentral describes it as "bacterial SSU rRNA". It matches the Rfam family "Bacterial small subunit ribosomal RNA", at positions 38 to 507 of the family's 1533-position model. The record is from RNAcentral.